This 76-nucleotide transfer RNA is filed under the name Rubrivivax sp. Its description in RNAcentral is "tRNA-Gly". It matches the Rfam family "tRNA". Rfam says of the family: Transfer RNA (tRNA) molecules are approximately 80 nucleotides in length. Their secondary structure includes four short double-helical elements and three loops (D, anti-codon, and T loops). Further hydrogen bonds mediate the characteristic L-shaped molecular structure. tRNAs have two regions of fundamental functional importance: the anti-codon, which is responsible for specific mRNA codon recognition, and the 3' end, to which the tRNAs corresponding amino acid is attached (by aminoacyl-tRNA synthetases). tRNAs cope with the degeneracy of the genetic code in two manners: having more than one tRNA (with a specific anti-codon) for a particular amino acid; and 'wobble' base-pairing, i.e. permitting non-standard base-pairing at the 3rd anti-codon position. The record is from RNAcentral. Lineage: Bacteria; Pseudomonadati; Pseudomonadota; Betaproteobacteria; Burkholderiales; Sphaerotilaceae. RNAcentral also lists the same sequence under 96 other names.
GCGGGAAUAGCUCAGUUGGUAGAGCGCAACCUUGCCAAGGUUGAGGUCGCGAGUUCGAAUCUCGUUUCCCGCUCCA